UUCGGGUUGUAAACCNCUUUUAGCAGGGAAGAAGCGAGAGUGACGGUACCUGCAGAAAAAAGCGCCGGCUAACUACGUGCCAGCAGCCGCGGUAAUACGUAGGGCGCAAGCGUUAUCCGGAAUUAUUGGGCGUAAAGAGCUCGUAGGCGGUUUGUCGCGUCUGCUGUGAAAUCCCGAGGCUCAACCUCGGGCCUGCAGUGGGUACGGGCAGACUAGAGUGCGGUAGGGGAGAUUGGAAUUCCUGGUGUAGCGGUGGAAUGCGCAGAUAUCAGGAGGAACACCGAUGGCGAAGGCAGAUCUCUGGGCCGUAACUGACGCUGAGGAGCGAAAGGGUGGGGAGCAAACAGGCUUAGAUACCCUGGUAGUCCACCCCGUAAACGUUGGGAACUAGUUGUGGGGACCAUUCCACGGUUUCCGUGACGCAGCUAACGCAUUAAGUUCCCCGCCUGGGGAGUACGGCCGCAAGGCUAAAACUCAAAGGAAUUGACGGGGACCCGCACAAGCGGCGGAGCAUGCGGAUUAAUUCGAUGCAACGCGAAGAACCUUACCAAGGCUUGACAUACACCAGAACACCGUAGAAAUACGGGACUCUUUGGACACUGGUGAACAGGUGGUGCAUGGUUGUCGUCAGCUCGUGUCGUGAGAUGUUGGGUUAAGUCCCGCAACGAGCGCAACCCUCGUUCUAUGUUGCCAGCACGUAAUGGUGGGAACUCAUGGGAUACUGCCGGGUCAACUCGGAGGAAGGUGGGGAUGACGUCAAAUCAUCAUGCCCCUUAUGUCUUGGGCUUCACGCAUGCUACAAUGGCCGGUACAAAGGGCUGCAAUACCGUGAGGUGGAGCGAAUCCCAAAAAGCCGGUCCCAGUUCGGAUUGAGGUCUGCAACUCGACCUCAUGAAGUCGGAGUCGCUAGUAAUCGCAGAUCAGCAACGCUGCGGUGAAUACGUUCCCGGGUCUUGUACACACCGCCCGUCAAGUCAUGAAAGUCGGUAACACCUGAAGCCGGUGGCCCAACCCUUGUGGAGGGAGCCGUCGAAGGUGGGAUCGGUAAUUAGGACUAAGUCGUAACAAGGUAGCCGUACCGGAAGGUGCGGCUGGAUCACCUCCUUU
RNAcentral lists this ribosomal RNA (1107 nucleotides) under uncultured Microbacterium sp. Its description in RNAcentral is "bacterial SSU rRNA". It matches the Rfam family "Bacterial small subunit ribosomal RNA", at positions 417 to 1533 of the family's 1533-position model. The record is from RNAcentral. Lineage: Bacteria; Bacillati; Actinomycetota; Actinomycetes; Micrococcales; Microbacteriaceae.